UAAAUCAAGAGAUAUGUAUAAAAAAAAAAAAAAAGAAAGAAAUAGCAAAAAAUAAACUAAUUCAAUUAUAUUAUUCUUAUUAGGAUAAUAAUUUACUGCGCAGAAUCAUGCGCAGUUCAAUAUUGAAAAGACAAGAUGGCGAUACGGAAAAGGCAUCGUGGGAUACGCAAUAAGAAUGGCGUCGUUCAAAAAUUCCUUAUGAUUCAUUGGCAUGUUGGAGAGGUUAACUUUUAUAAAACGUAUAAAAAGAGAAGAAUAGAAGAA
Apis mellifera (honey bee) is the source of this 264-nucleotide long non-coding RNA. RefSeq lists it as uncharacterized. The record is from RefSeq and is a predicted model, not a curated record. The transcript is spliced from 2 exons. NCBI's taxonomy places the organism in Eukaryota, Metazoa, Arthropoda, Insecta, Hymenoptera, Apidae.